UCAAAUACAAUUGGAUAAAUUUGCGAAAAAAAGGCGUUUGCGCCGAAAAUCAGUACAUUUCAUUGAAAAAUCAGUAUAUCAGAACGGGGGUGUAAAAAUCAGUACGCGUACUGAUAAAAUCAGUACAUCUGGUAACCCUAUCUUAUGCAAGGCUUAUUUCCAUCCAUAUGAAAAAAGUCAUUUAUAAUUCCUUUAUAUAAGAGUGAAUUUAGGUCAUCCAUUGAAAACUAUAGAGAAAUAGCAAAGAUGUCAGCAAUACCUAAACUUUUCGAAGCAAUUAUAACAGACAACAUAACCUUCCCGAUCUCUCCACUAAUUUCUUGUUCUCGGCACGGUUUUCGUAAAAGGAACUAAUUUGCUUGAAAUUGUAUCACAUGUAUCAACGAGCUUUAAGCCGGAUUCAUCGUUCUUGUCCAGACAACUUUUGUUGGAAAUUUUACACGUUCUUUUCCCACUUUGUCUCAGUGAGAGCGUAACCAAAAUGUGCUGAACUCUCUUUGUUCGAAUCAAUUUGAUUUUGAUUUUCUGUCCGGACAACUUGAUGAUCAGGACUGCCAUUACUCAUGUUUUUGUAAUUUUCAGCCAAAUUGGAUGUACGAUUUGGAAUAAAAACUACAAAUUUACAUGUAGGCAACCAUGUAAACCAUUGUCAGCUGUUGUCAUCUUUCAUCAAAAGGUCGCAAUGUCUUCGCCGGCUGGACAAAGUAAUUACAAUUUAUUAAGCAUUUAAUUAAAGUCAAUCGUUUUCAGAUUUUGCGUUGCUCAAAAAGCUUUUUUCAGAAAUGCGAAAGGAAAAGUACAAAAAGAGUACUAAAUAAUAAGCUUAAGCAAAUAGCUUGGGGUGAAAUCGCGGACGCACUUGAAUUGCCAAAGGAUGAAGUGCAAGUGCUGUGGAAACGCACCCGAAAUAAAUUUAAAAACGAGCUUGCCAGCAGUAACGCCCCAAGUGGAAGCGCGAGACGAGUACAAAAGCAGAUGGAUACUUUUUUGUUAUCAGAAAUGGAAUUUUUACGGAAAUAUGUAGAAGAUGAGAAACCAACAACUACAAACUACACUGGCAUGCAAGAACUUUUUGACGAAAUGGCCGGAGAUCCUGAAGUCAUAAGCUCCUCCAUGGAUGAAUCUUCAUCUACCCCAACAUUUAAACACAAGAAGCCAAAACAUGGAACUUUUGACACCGAAAUGCAAACAGCCUUGCAAAAACUGAUUACCUUAGCAUCAGGUAUUUUAAGUGCGCCACAGGAUCCUUUCUAUUUAUAUUUUCAAUCAGAAAUGGAAAAAUUACCAGAGAAUGUCAAAUCUGAGCUCAAAUCUGAAAUAAUGCAAAAAAUAUUUCAAGCUCAAAAAAUGUAUUUGUAAUUUUUGUAUAUGUAUUUGUAUUUUAUUUGCUAAUCACCAAAAUAAAGACAGUUAACUUAGUUUGGAAGUGUUUAUUCAAAUGCAAUUUCAUAUAUUUUCUGGCAAGUUUUUGAAAUAAUUUGUAUACAUUCUCCUUACUACAAUAGCAUCUUGAGAUGCAUGGUUACUGUGAGAAGACAUCACUGGUUGCACAAAACUUUGCAAAAUGGGUUUCUG
Bactrocera dorsalis (oriental fruit fly) is the source of this 1575-nucleotide long non-coding RNA. RefSeq lists it as uncharacterized. The transcript is spliced from 3 exons. NCBI's taxonomy places the organism in Eukaryota, Metazoa, Arthropoda, Insecta, Diptera, Tephritidae. The record is from RefSeq and is a predicted model, not a curated record.